ACCAGGAGGCUGAGGUCCCU
RNAcentral lists this microRNA (20 nucleotides) under Mus musculus (house mouse). RNAcentral's name for it is "mmu-miR-665-3p". Its record names the gene mmu-miR-665-3p. The record is from miRBase by way of RNAcentral. Lineage: Eukaryota; Metazoa; Chordata; Mammalia; Rodentia; Muridae.